This is a non-coding RNA of Acanthosepion pharaonis, 112 nucleotides long. The record is from the annotation of a GenBank genome assembly. Lineage: Eukaryota; Metazoa; Mollusca; Cephalopoda; Sepiida; Sepiidae.
CGCGGCCUUAACACGUUGAAACACCGGUACCCGUACGAUCACCGAAGUUAAGCAAUGUCGAAUCUGGUCAGUACCUAGAUAAGUUCGUGCAUGGGAAUACCAGGUGCUGUAA